RNAcentral lists this long non-coding RNA (273 nucleotides) under Elaeis guineensis (African oil palm). Its description in RNAcentral is "long non-coding RNA (EGUI_LNC018809)". Lineage: Eukaryota; Viridiplantae; Streptophyta; Magnoliopsida; Arecales; Arecaceae. The record is from RNAcentral.
GCUGUGGGCUCCAUGUAGCUUGAAUCUUGAGGCGUUAAAUUUCAACAGGAAGCACUAGUAUGAAAAUUAUUUAUCCCAACUGCUUGUGAUCAAGACCUGAACAGAACUUGCACAACUGCGAAGCUACGUCCAAUUGCCAAUUAUUUGCAAUUUUACCAUACUAAUUGGGAAAAAUCUUUUAGUAAUCAUGGAAUAAUAUGUUUAAGACAACCAAAGAAGAAUUAAUAAAGACAUGGAUGAUUCAAAAGAAUUAGCCUAAAUGAGUAUUGUUGU